This is a long non-coding RNA of Lepidothrix coronata (blue-crowned manakin), 2393 nucleotides long. RefSeq lists it as uncharacterized. The transcript is spliced from 3 exons. NCBI's taxonomy places the organism in Eukaryota, Metazoa, Chordata, Aves, Passeriformes, Pipridae. The record is from RefSeq and is a predicted model, not a curated record.
GCGGCGGAGCGCGCAUAGGACUGACCACCAGCAGCGAAAAAGAAGGUACUUUUAUUGUCCACAGACUCUUAAAGAUGGUGCCUGCACAUGACCUCGUCUUUAGUAAUGGCAAUGAAUUUCUUUCCAGAUUAAAGGACUCCUCCUUUGGAGCACAUCAUGGCUCUUGUGCAUGGAAACUAGGUUGUGAGCACAGUGGGAAGCAGAAAACUGUGCACUCUGUCUUCUCCUAAGAUAGAGUUGUGAAGCAAAUGGGAGAGACAUGUAAGUAACAAGACAGAGCUGGACUGAAAUGCCUGCUCAAGGAGCCUGUUUUUCCUCACUACCUACCCUAGGAAUCCAAAUUUAGCCUCCCAAUUUUGAGAGUUGUAUGAUUUUAAUACCCUUUAGAAAUAACAAUUUGAAGUACAGCUAAAAUCACGUGUUCCAGUGCCAGACUAAGAUAUGAGACUACAGAAAGGUAUCAGCAGUCAAUGAAGUAAUAAAGUCAACCAAAAAGCAAAACAAUUUCUUAGAUUGUGAAGAAAACAGAAGAAAAAUGCUGACAUGCUUUUGUAGUAAAUAUUCCAAGACAGCAAUCACACCAGGGUGCAGAUAAUUGCUCCAAAGCAUGUUUUCCUUUACCCUUCUUUUGAAAGAGAAGUAUUAGGUACUUUCAGCAUUAGGCCAUGUGAAGUUAAGUGACUGAAAACAAACAGCAUUUCAAAGAAUAACGUUUGGUCUUCUUGAUUUGUGACUAAAAAGGACCCCCUUCCCUUCUCUCCUUUACAAUGAGAUGUGUUUGGUGAGAGGACUAAUGCAGCUGUGGAUGGCUCUCCCACAGUCAGGGAAGAUGCAAUACUUUCUCAGUGUUACUGCUGUUGCUGCUGUAGAUGUAAUGGAGUUCACCUUAACAAAAGUAAGGGAAUCCAAGCCAACAAGUGCAGGGAUGACAAAAAAUUGGGGGAGGCAUUUGAUAGGCUGAGGGGUAUGGCCACCAGAGUUAUUUCCACAAUUGGAAUCUGAUACAAACUUCAAGAAGUUCCAAGAAUACAGUGGUAAACGCAUAGUCCUGGAGCUGGGAUAAAAGAGUACAGACUGAGGAGCAACCUUACCAAAAAAGAAGGUGUGUAUUUGAUGAAGUCAAACUACAUACUGGCUGUAUUAGCACAUGAGAAGCAAGAAGACUAAAAGGAGUAAUGAUGCUCCCCUACUCAACACUUGUGCGGCUGCAUCUCCAGUACCAUGUCCUGUCUUGAGUUCCCCAAAAGGAGAUUGCAACACACAACAAAAAAGUUGUGUGUUGCUUAUUUGAUAGCAAGAUGAUAAGGCUGAGGGGAGAUCCUACUGCUGCCUUUAAAUUACUUAUCGGGAGGGUACAGAGAUGACGACAAAUUUUUCUUGAAGGUGGCACAGUGACAAGAAAAGAGUUGUGACUUGCAUUAAAGGGUAUUUUGACUAGACAUAAACAAAAUCCUACAGCACAAGAGUUUACCCAGACACCUCUACCAGGCUGCAACAUCUUCAUCCUUGGAGAUAAAUAAAACUUCACUGGGCAAGGCCCUGAGAAACUUGACCUAAACCUGAAGUUACCUCCAAUUUGAACAGAAGGUUGAACUAAAUAACAUCUGGAGGUCUACUUGUACUUUAAUUACUGUGUGAUUCUAUAAAGCAGACAUUUAACAUCACUCAAAUUAAUCCUACCUGAAUGUUGUAAGAGGUGUUUUUCAAAAGGCUUUGCCUUGUAGAUAUUUAAGAAGUGCUCCUCUGACAUAUGCAGUAGGAAGCAUGAACACUACCUUCCAGGUAAAAUAGUUUAAUCUUUUUUUUUCUGUACAAUUCUGUAACUCAGAUAUUUCACUCCAUCUCAAGCAGCUGAAAAGUUGUGUUUAAACAAUAUUCCCAGAUAGAAUCUUUCUUUUUACAAGCUUAAUUUUUAUCUAUUGCAUUUUUUUAUCAGACAUCUAAACACUAUGGGUUUAUAGGAAGUCUGUGAGGCUUUUGCUACAUUAUUACUGAUGUAAUUAUAUAAAAUUAAAUCAGGUUAUAAAACCAACAAAUGCACAAUCAUCUGUUGUAUUACGUGGAUAGAUUCUCUCUGAGGAAAUAUAACUACAUUAAAGAAAAAUUUUAAGAAGAGACUGCAUCACUCAGAAAUGCAGAGCAGUAGUUGUGGCAAAACUCUUAAACAAAAGAACACAAUAAGAUCUCAAGUACCUGCAGGCUACCAACUUACAGCUGCCGUGUAAUGGUAUGAUGAAUGACUAAGGCUUUACCUAUCAAGUGUUGGAUAAGGUAAUCCCAUGCUUACAAAUAGGAUUACAGUACAGUAUUAAGUUUUAAAGCUGAGCUUAAAAAUGUAGAAGACAAUCAUGUUAGAAUAGAAGUAACAUGGCAUUCUUACCUCCCAUGACACC